GAUGAACGCUGGCGGCGUGCCUAAUACAUGCAAGUCGAGCGAACGGACGAGAAGCUUGCUUCUCUGAUGUUAGCGGCGGACGGGUGAGUAACACGUGGAUAACCUACCUAUAAGACUGGGAUAACUUCGGGAAACCGGAGCUAAUACCGGAUAAUAUUUUGAACCGCAUGGUUCAAAAGUGAAAGACGGUCUUGCUGUCACUUAUAGCUGGAUCCGCGCUGCAUUAGCUAGUUGGUAAGGUAACGGCUUACCAAGGCAACGAUGCAUAGCCGACCUGAGAGGGUGAUCGGCCACACUGGAACUGAGACACGGUCCAGACUCCUACGGGAGGCAGCAGUAGGGAAUCUUCCGCAAUGGGCGAAAGCCUGACGGAGCAACGCCGCGUGAGUGAGGAAGGUCUUCGGAUCGUAAACUCUGUUAUUAGGGAAGAACAUAUGUGUAAGUAACUGUGCACAUCUUGACGGUACCUAAUCAGAAAGCCACGGCUAACUACGUG
RNAcentral lists this ribosomal RNA (496 nucleotides) under uncultured bacterium. Its description in RNAcentral is "partial 16S ribosomal RNA". It matches the Rfam family "Bacterial small subunit ribosomal RNA", at positions 28 to 507 of the family's 1533-position model. The record is from RNAcentral.